RNAcentral lists this ribosomal RNA (571 nucleotides) under uncultured bacterium. Its description in RNAcentral is "bacterial SSU rRNA". It matches the Rfam family "Bacterial small subunit ribosomal RNA", at positions 293 to 869 of the family's 1533-position model. The record is from RNAcentral.
UGAGAGGACGAUCAGCCACACUGGCACUGCGACACGGGCCAGACUCCUACGGGAGGCAGCAGUAAGGAAUAUUGCGCAAUGGGCGACAGCCUGACGCAGCGACGCCGCGUGGGGGAUGAAGGUCUUCGGAUUGUAAACCCCUUUCGGCAGGGAAGAUGGAACGGGUAACCGUUCGGACGGUACCUGCAGAAGCAGCCACGGCUAACUUCGUGCCAGCAGCCGCGGUAAUACGAAGGUGGCAAGCGUUGUUCGGAUUUACUGGGCGUACAGGGAGCGUAGGCGGUUGGGUAAGCCCUCCGUGAAAUCUCCGGGCCUAACCCGGAAAGUGCGGAGGGGACUGCUCGGCUAGAGGAUGGGAGAGGAGCGCGGAAUUCCCGGUGUAGCGGUGAAAUGCGUAGAGAUCGGGAGGAAGGCCGGUGGCGAAGGCGGCGCUCUGGAACAUUUCUGACGCUGAGGCUCGAAAGCGUGGGGAGCAAACAGGAUUAGAUACCCUGGUAGUCCACGCCUUAAACGAUGGAUACUAAGUGUCGGCGGGUUACCGCCGGUGCCGCAGCUAACGCAUUAAGUAUCC